RNAcentral lists this long non-coding RNA (561 nucleotides) under Dermacentor andersoni. RNAcentral's name for it is "uncharacterized LOC126526075". Lineage: Eukaryota; Metazoa; Arthropoda; Arachnida; Ixodida; Ixodidae. The record is from RNAcentral.
AUUUUUCACGUCUUUGCUCUCGCACACGGGCUUCGUGUGCCUUGGAUAACAAAAGAGUUUAAAAAAACGAUUAUGACGCACUCCCUAAAGGAACUGUGUAAAUGAAGUAGCAUGAAAAAAACACAGUCGGAAAUACGAAUUUCAGGGCAGUUGUGCUCGAAUAUAUUUAACAUAUUGGACAAUUCUACUCUGAAACGUCUGCGAAUUUAGAUAUGGUAAAAUAUUGGAGCUCAGUAAUCUUGCUGGCUUCUGUGACAGCCAUGUUUCUCAUACUAAUAAUGCAAGAUGUAAAUCACUGGUGUGCGCUUGGAGUCGUGCAUCGUCAGGCAAACCGACGAGAGCAUCGGCGCCGCCAACGUUCGGCAACUAGAGAUAAAAUACCUUCAACACCACCAACACCCAGACCACUUCGCCCCAUGCCUAAUUACACUGGCACGUAUGUCUGAAGAAUUUUCCUUUAUCGGGGAUUGUAAUCACACCUUGGAUACCGGGCCACAAGAAUGACGUUUGGGAACGCUUUCGUUUGAAAUAGAAGUUCAGAAUAAAAAAAAAUCUACACUU